GACGAACGCUGGCGGCGUGCCUAAUACAUGCAAGUCGAACGCACAGUUUAUACCGUAGCUUGCUACACCAUAGACUGUGAGUUGCGAACGGGUGAGUAACGCGUAGGUAACCUGCCUGGUAGCGGGGGAUAACUAUUGGAAACGAUAGCUAAUACCGCAUAAUAUUGAUUAUUGCAUGAUAAUUGAUUGAAAGAUGCUAUUGCAUCACUACCAGAUGGACCUGCGUUGUAUUAGCUAGUAGGUGAGGUAACGGCUCACCUAGGCGACGAUACAUAGCCGACCUGGGAGGUUGAUCGGCCACACUGGGACUGGGACACGGCCCAGACUCCUACGGGAGGCAGCAGUAGGGAAUCUUCGGCAAUGGACGAAAGUCUGACCGAGCAACGCCGCGUGAGUGAAGAAGGUUUCGGAUCGUAAAGCUCUGUUGUAAGAGAAGAACGGGUGUGAGAGUGGAAAGUUCACACUGUGACGGUAUCUUACCAGAAAGAGACGGCUAACUACGUG
RNAcentral lists this ribosomal RNA (504 nucleotides) under uncultured bacterium. RNAcentral describes it as "partial 16S ribosomal RNA". It matches the Rfam family "Bacterial small subunit ribosomal RNA", at positions 28 to 507 of the family's 1533-position model. The record is from RNAcentral.